RNAcentral lists this long non-coding RNA (228 nucleotides) under Lathyrus oleraceus (garden pea). RNAcentral describes it as "Pisum sativum (pea) long non-coding RNA (PSAT_LNC017199)". The record is from RNAcentral. Lineage: Eukaryota; Viridiplantae; Streptophyta; Magnoliopsida; Fabales; Fabaceae.
UUGUGAGAUUUUUUGUGAAUUUUAAUGGCAUGAUUCAUGUGGUUACAUUUUGAUUUGGGAGCAACUCUUGAUUACCCUAUCUUGUUUCUCUAACCUGUUUGUUGAGUUUUUUUGUAAGGGCUCACAUGACUCUUGCAGAGAUGGCCUGGUGUUCCACUUUAUUUGUGGGAUACCACCUGGAGGUUUAUUCCGAUUACUUGUGCUUAAUGGCUUGAGAUAUUUGUUUGU